AAUUUUAAUUUUUCAAGUAGCAGUCAAGUGAUACAAACAUAAAAGAAAAUUGAAUUGUAUAUUUACCUUGUUUUCGCCUAUACAAACUACUUCUCAGCAGCUAAAAAACUAAGCUUCAAAUCCAAUUUGUGAAAAAAAAAAAUUGAACUCAAUAAAAUUGCACUGUGCCCGAUACGGUGAUGGGCGGACUGAAUUCAACACGAGUUGCUUUCCCCUCUGAGAACCAUUGAGGCAGUGUGUUGGCUUCCUUGGGUGCUACUCCCUCUGCGGUCCAUAUGGUAACAUGCGGCCACUCAUUUUUUGAAACUACUUUUUCGCCAUCAACAGAACCUGGUUGUGCUUCUAGGGCAGCCAUUUUAUCUGUGAAGAGAAGUGCAGUCAAUUCUACUGGAACCUUCUGAUUGAGAAACAGUCCAUAACUUGCUACCGCUGUAACGCCAUGACUUCUCUUGUGGGCAAGGGUCAAGUGAGUCUCCUUAAGGUUGUGCUCCAAGUGCUUGUCCUGAAGAAAGGCUACAACCUUGGGGUUCUUCUGAGCCAAAUUGUUGAGGGAACUACAGAUUUCUGCAACUGGCAAAUCGAUAGCAGCAAAAACAAUUGUUCCAAGUUUCCUCCUCUCAAUAAUUGGUGUUGUGUAUUCACCCUUAGCAAUUUUUCUUAGCUGUUCCAGCACUUGCUUAACUGCAGACUCAAAAGGAACCUGAAUGGAAUUGAGGUACUCCGCAUUGCUGAAUAGAACUUCACGCAACCGCUUCUCCCAAUUUGCCCAUUCCUUUGCAUAUGACCCCUUGGUAGAUUCCAUUCUAAGAACAGAAUAAUAUAAAAAAGUAAUAUGUACCUCUUGAUGGGAUAUAGGCAACAGUGAUAGAAGUGGCACCAUAAAAUAAAGCAUGAAGACUAUCAUGUAAUCCAUAACAGAAAUUUUCAAUUCAGAUGAAAGACAGAUUUUAUUAUCUGUCCACUGGGAUAUUGGUCAAUGUUGGAAAGAUACGAUAAUUUGGAGAAACAUAGUUAGGAUUUUCUAUGACAAGAUUUAAAAAAAAUUAAAACACAGAAGAAAUAGCCUGCACAUGAUCUAUUUUUAUCCAAAUCUGAGUAGGGUAUUAUGCAAGAAUAAAUUAUUCCUAAUCUUGAUUGCAUAAUCAACAGUAACUUGGCAAAAGAGUAAAUAGGUGUGAAGACUGAAGACCAAUGAAAGAAAGCAUUAGUAAGUAAUUAGCUUCUCAUCUCUUUAGUGCUUAGCUAUUUACUGUUAUAGCUUUAUUAAAAAAAAAAAUCCUUCACACUCACCUUCACAAUCAACAAUUCCAAAAAAGUGAAAUGCCUAAUGUCAAUAUUAGUCUAUUCUACAAAAUGCAAAGCAAAAAUCUGAAAAGAAAGCAUAUAAUAGAUACACACCUGCCAUGGCUGUUGGUGUGAAGCCCGUAUAGAUUUAUUCCCUCUUCCAAAAUUGACCUCACAGGAUCUGGCAGAGGACUCCUAUCCGAUUUCAGCAAUGGCAUCUUCACUAGAGAGCCAAAACGUUCAAUUAAUUCACUCUCAAACUCUUGUUGACUCUUGCCAUCAUAAAGAUGAUAAAACAUUAAAAGCACGUAACCAGCAUUUGGAGAUGCUUUGUCCAGAUUUCCCGGAUGAUUAACUCGUUGAAGAACACGGAAAAUGAAAACUGAUAAUGCAUCAAGAGAAAAUGGAUUUGAAUCUGUUCCUUCAGAAUCAGGUAUAACAGGAACAGCUGACGCUCGGGUGCUACGGCACAUAUCUUCAAUCUGUCUCCAAACUUCUUCAUUUGGUGCAUUCUUGUCAGCCAGCAUUAUAGAAUAUGGUUUUCUCCUGCGCUCCUCAGCAACCUUCUGCCAAUACUUUCCUUUGAUAAGGUCCCCCAUCAAACUAUGGACAGGGCGAUCAUCUCCAAGUCCUCCAGGGGCAUUUAGUAAUUCCUUGCAAAGAGCAGACUUAGCACAACCAGGUAUUCCUGGAAAAAAUACAAUUAAACCCUCAUUCUUUUGAACAGUGUCCUUGACUGAGGACAUAGGGCUCGGGGGCGCCACCUCUCGCUCUGUCUCAAGAUCACCCUCUUCAUCCCUGUCUCCUAUAAUGGCCAAGAAAUCUUCAGCCCUAACUAAACUUCCAGCAGAUCCUAUCAGAGCCUGAUUCUCUGGACUUCGACUUGCAUACUGUUCAAGAAAAGGCUCAGCUUCACUAAGGUAUAUUGAGGAUGACAACUGUUUCUUUCCAUGUUUUCUUCGGAUGUAGACAGCCCAUUCAUCAAGCAUCUUGCUGAGUUCUCUCUGCUUUCCAGCUGAUGUGCCCCAUAUUUUCAUCUGCCUCAGGUAGUAGGCCUUGUAAGCAGAUGGACCAUCCUUGAAAAGAAUCGACAAACCAUUGCGGAUCAAAAAGGUUCUUAACUUAUAUGUAAGAAAUUUUAAUUUUAUCAUUAAAUUUGCAUCUUCGUCAGCUAUACCAUCUUUUGCAGAUACAGCAUCAUUGCCAUUAAUAGUUUCCUCCAUGUUAUUGUUAUUUUUUGCAAUUUCAGCAGCUCUCUCCUUGUUUGCCUUGAAUAAAUUGAUGUCAACAAAAAAACCUGGGCAAAUAUAAAAGAGUCAAAAACAAAUUCCAUAGCUCAUAAGGUCCCACCUCUUAACUCUUACUCCUUCACACCCCCACCCCAACCUGUUUCCUUCUGUUUCAUCUUAUCUCCACCACCACCAACCAAGGUCACUUCACAUAAAGAUUAUUAAAUAUAUUACAUGUGCAUUUACCACUUCAUAAAGAAACCGGGAUAGUAAGCCCAUUCCUUUAUUGAAGAUUAUGAUCAGUAUUAAAAAAUUUUUACCUCGAUACAAUGGCCACAACCCUGGCUUGUGCCUCAUCUCUUUUUGAUAUCGCCGAAAUCCAGAGUCACUGUGGACAUGAAUAACCAUCUUGUAGAAAAGGUUGUCACUUGAUACAGAAUCAAUUUUUUGGAAGUUAUGGUAACAUUUAAAAGCAGCUGGGAAGCGUCUUUCUCUCAGCAAACGAACCAUUUCCUGCAACUUCUUGGUUGAAUAAUCAGUGGGGUGAGCUUGUAAAAAUUUUGAAACAACAGAUCUGUCAGCAUUUCUUGAAUGGGUAUCACCACCUUCAAUCCCAAACCAGUCUGAAUUGUCAGGGCAAAAAGAAGAGCCAAUGCUCUGAAGUAGCGCUUUUAUUUGCUGUUUUUCAUCAGCCCUAUUAGCAGCACAAAUUUCUCUUAGACUUAGUCCCAAAUCAAGGUCCGCUCUUUCAGCUGGUGAAGGAGGAUGUUCCCUCAAGACAUCCUCCAUGUGUUUUGAGCUGUCAGGACCUACAAUCCGAGCAACAAGACCCUCCAGGAUUUCACCCUGCACCUUUAUAUGGUCUUUUGAACCUGGGACAGAAAUAUCAGCAACUUCAUCAAGAGCCCUACAUACAGUGGUUGCUGUUCCUUCUUCACAUAGUGCAUCAUAGGCAGCAAAAAAAGACGUUACUGAUUUCCUCGUUGAGAACAACCAAACAUGAUUUGUUGGAAGGCGCCAUUUUCGACAAAAGGCAAUCAAUUCAGGAGUUGAGUAGAACUUUGGCUUUCCAUUGCCUAACUCUGUGACUGCUGUGACCACCACUGCAAUAAUGAAGACAUAAUGAAACCAUUAACAAAGUGAUUCAACAGGCCCCAAAAGAUUGGACAAAUCUAAUAAUACUACUUUGCAGUUUACACAUAAGCGGAGAGUGGACAGGCCUAAUGACAUAUUAUACUGUGCCCUCAAGAAAAAUGAUAAAUAAACCAAAUUUGUUUUCAGUAAAUAAAUUUUUCAUAUAUAUGACGUAGUUGACAACUGAAAUCCCAAAUAUCUUUUGCUUCUGAGAAACAUUACCUUUUGUUAUGGCCAAAAAAUCUAUUUGAAACAGUACCCAGAAUACCAUGAAUAUUGAAAAUUAAGAAGGCGAAAUGCAAUCUAUCAAAAUAGCCUACUACUAACAAGAUAUCCAAUGUCAUCUAAUACACAACUCCAAUGUGGCAAGACAGCAUCCAUGUGAUCUGCUUCACACAGUAUAAUGACCCUUGCUGGUAUAACCAGCAUCUCAAUCAUAUAACUGACAUGAAAAUUUAACUAUAAAGAAAUCAGCAUUGCAAAUGACUGACUUAUCUUGGAAUGGAAAGCAAGCAUCAAGUUACUAAUCCAGUAAGCACAAUCAUCAUGACCACAAUCAAUUGCUUGCUUCCAUGAAAAGUUCAUCUACUGUUAUGGUGCCAACCCAAAAUCUUAUGCCAUAAUCCUCUCGGGGUCGUUGCCCAUGGUCUCCUAGAACUGCAGUUACCAAUUCCAUUGAUAUACACAUUCGGUUUCUCUCAAGAAACUCAUUGAACUCUGCUUGCUUUUUUGCAGCUGCGGUUCCCCAUGCCUCAUGAAACAUUCGACCAAGAACAAAGACACCAACAGCAGUGUAUAUAUUUCCGAAGCUAUUUUUUGCAUAUGCUCCACCCUUAUGACCCGCAUACAUAAAAAGAGACCCAGAAUGCUUGAGUGUGACCUCCAAUGUAGCCAGCCCUUUAGAUACCAUCUCUAUCAUUCUGAUCCUAAUCUCCUGAUCAGACUUCUCAUUUUCAAAUUUGGGAUAGAAAGUGGCUCUAAUUUGGGCUUGUGAAUAAGUCGAAUUAUCCACAGCAAAAUUUUCUAACAGAUUACCCCUAAAGAAUUGACUCAAGUUAACACUACUCUUCCGAGCUGCCACCGAAGCUGUACCAGACGCACUGCUCUGGACAUCAACCAGCAUUCCAUUAGAAGGCACAUUUUCAACUUCCACAGUUGAAGCUCCACUUACUGUUCCAUAGGACAUAGGCUUCCAUAUAGCCUUUUGACCUUGCAAGUUACACUGAUUAACCACUUGCGCAUUACCAAACGGCACGGGCAAUGGCUCCACAACAUGACUCUGGCCACUGCUUUCGGCUAUACUCAAACCACCAAUUCUAUCGGUAACCGCCGCAACCGAUGCACCCAGACCGGAGGGAGACGGCUGGUCCGUGGUUGGAUUCGGUUUCCACUGUUGUCCUUCAAGCCCGCCCUUUCUCUGAGACAUGAUUAGAUGAGAAAUGGAAAGAGAAGAAGAGCGAGGUAGGGCUAAAAAGGAAGGAGAAGAUCGAAGGAAAAUGAAGCUUUUAGAUUUGAGGUUUAGGGAAGGAGGAGAAAACGGGAGAGUCAGAGAAAGUGUGAAGAGGAUGCUUCGCAUAGUUGGUGUGGCAAUGGCUAUAAAUAGUAACCGAAAGAACGG
Molecule: unclassified non-coding RNA, 5265 nt
Filed under: Hevea brasiliensis (rubber tree)
Lineage: Eukaryota; Viridiplantae; Streptophyta; Magnoliopsida; Malpighiales; Euphorbiaceae
Source: RNAcentral